Molecule: ribosomal RNA, 654 nt
Filed under: Penicillium sp. NRRL 35648
Lineage: Eukaryota; Fungi; Ascomycota; Eurotiomycetes; Eurotiales; Aspergillaceae
Description: eukaryotic LSU rRNA
Rfam family: Eukaryotic large subunit ribosomal RNA
Source: RNAcentral
GACCUCGGAUCAGGUAGGGAUACCCGCUGAACUUAAGCAUAUCAAUAAGCGGAGGAAAAGAAACCAACAGGGAUUGCCCCAGUAACGGCGAGUGAAGCGGCAAGAGCUCAAAUUUGAAAGCUGGCUCCUUCGGGGUCCGCAUUGUAAUUUGCAGAGGAUGCUUCGGGAGCGGUCCCCAUCUAAGUGCCCUGGAACGGGACGUCAUAGAGGGUGAGAAUCCCGUAUGGGAUGGGGUGUCCGCGCCCGUGUGAAGCUCCUUCGACGAGUCGAGUUGUUUGGGAAUGCAGCUCUAAAUGGGUGGUAAAUUUCAUCUAAAGCUAAAUAUUGGCCGGAGACCGAUAGCGCACAAGUAGAGUGAUCGAAAGAUGAAAAGCACUUUGAAAAGAGAGUUAAAAAGCACGUGAAAUUGUUGAAAGGGAAGCGCUUGCGACCAGACUCGCUCGCGGGGUUCAGCCGGCAUUCGUGCCGGUGUACUUCCCCGCGAGCGGGCCAGCGUCGGUUUGGGCGGUCGGUCAAAGGCCCCUGGAAGGUAACGCCCCCUCGGGGGCGUCUUAUAGCCAGGGGUGCAAUGCGGCCUGCCCGGACCGAGGAACGCGCUUCGGCUCGGACGCUGGCAUAAUGGUCGUAAGCGACCCGUCUUGAAAAACACGGACC